CCAAAGGCUCUUUUAAGAGCCAACACAUGACAAUAUUUGUGAUAUUU
This is a non-coding RNA of Strongylocentrotus purpuratus (purple sea urchin), 47 nucleotides long. Lineage: Eukaryota; Metazoa; Echinodermata; Echinoidea; Camarodonta; Strongylocentrotidae. The record is from Rfam.